This 496-nucleotide ribosomal RNA is filed under the name uncultured bacterium. Its description in RNAcentral is "partial 16S ribosomal RNA". It matches the Rfam family "Bacterial small subunit ribosomal RNA", at positions 28 to 506 of the family's 1533-position model. The record is from RNAcentral.
GAUGAACGCUGGCGGCGUGCCUAAUACAUGCAAGUCGAGCGAACGGACGAGAAGCUUGCUCUUCUGAUGUUAGCGGCGGACGGGUGAGUAACACGUGGAUAACCUACCUAUAAGACUGGGAUAACUUCGGGAAACCGGAGCUAAUACCGGAUAAUAUUUUGAACCGCAUGGUUCAAAAGUGAAAGACGGUCUUGCUGUCACUUAUAGAUGGAUCCGCGCUGCAUUAGCUAGUUGGUAAGGUAACGGCUUACCAAGGCAACGAUGCAUAGCCGACCUGAGAGGGUGAUCGGCCACACUGGAACUGAGACACGGUCCAGACUCCUACGGGAGGCAGCAGUAGGGAAUCUUCCGCAAUGGGCGAAAGCCUGACGGAGCAACGCCGCGUGAGUGAUGAAGGUCUUCGGAUCGUAAAACUCUGUUAUUAGGGAAGAACAGAUGUGUAAGUAACUGUGCACAUCUUGACGGUACCUAAUCAGAAAGCCACGGCUAACUACGU